RNAcentral lists this transfer RNA (72 nucleotides) under Mus musculus (house mouse). It matches the Rfam family "tRNA". Rfam says of the family: Transfer RNA (tRNA) molecules are approximately 80 nucleotides in length. Their secondary structure includes four short double-helical elements and three loops (D, anti-codon, and T loops). Further hydrogen bonds mediate the characteristic L-shaped molecular structure. tRNAs have two regions of fundamental functional importance: the anti-codon, which is responsible for specific mRNA codon recognition, and the 3' end, to which the tRNAs corresponding amino acid is attached (by aminoacyl-tRNA synthetases). tRNAs cope with the degeneracy of the genetic code in two manners: having more than one tRNA (with a specific anti-codon) for a particular amino acid; and 'wobble' base-pairing, i.e. permitting non-standard base-pairing at the 3rd anti-codon position. The record is from Rfam by way of RNAcentral. Lineage: Eukaryota; Metazoa; Chordata; Mammalia; Rodentia; Muridae.
GAGGAUGUAGCUCAGUCAGUAGAGUGCUUGCCUAGCAUGCACAAAGCCCUGGGUUCAAAUCCCAGCAUACCA